UUGAAAUUUAAGUAUUUAUUUUAAUAUUCUCUCUCCUAAUAUUCUCUCUCUUCUUGCGCGCAGCACUCUCUUUCUCUCCCCAAAUCUCUCCACCCUUCUUGUUCUUCUUCUUCUUCUUUUUUCUUCUUCUCUGUUCUAUUCAAUAGAGAAAGAAAAAGAGAGAGAGAAAGAAAGAAACCAACCAACCAACACAAAGAGAUUUAGUAUUUUUCGAUCACAUUGGAUCGAAAAUUUACAAUCUUUAUUAUUCGUUUAUUCUUUUUUAUGUCUUACGUUUGAUUAAAAAGAAAAAAAAAAAAAACAACAACAACAAAAGACAAGAAGAUCGAUCGGCGUUAUUCAAGAAGCUAGAUUUUUUUUUUAUUAUUCAGCUUUAAUAACGAAAAGGUAUGUUAAUCUCUUAAUUACACUAUUGUUUUAAUUUGAUGAAUUUAUUUAUAUUAAUAAAGGGUAUUGAAUUUUGAUUGAAAUUAUUGUGUUUUUUUUUUUUUUAAUUUGAAAACUAGGGUUUUGAGAUUGAAUUAGGGUUGUUUAUGAGUCGAUUUGAAUUGGGUAUUUGUUUAAAUUUGUGGGUUUUCUUGUUUGACAAGUUAUAUUAAGUUUUAGAAGGUAUGGUUGUUUCUUUGAUUGCAUUAUGUUGGAAUUGAGUUUCUAGGGUUUGUGGGGAGGGUUUUUUUGAAUUUGAUUGUUUGAUAUUAAUAGGUUGUGAUAAUUUUGUUUAAAUAGUUUUGUAUUGUUUAUUAACAGGGAUUAUUAUUACCAGCUUUUGAUUGGGAGUGUUUAGAUGGGAUGAGUUUGGAAACCAGCGGAGAUUUUAAUUUGUGGAUGUAGAGUGCAGACCUUGGAUACGUAAUGUGGGGAAUGCGAUUGGAAUCAAGAUAUAAGGAUGUUUAUUCGCUAAUACAUUGAGAUUUUGGUGUGACGAUUUUGUUUCAGAGUUAGCUUUGGUGUGUAUAAGAUGACAUUGAAUUAUUCACAUCGGACAUUUUUUCCUGUCAAUCCAUCCGAGGAAAAUUUGGUCUCCUCGGUUCUGGACAGGUAUGUGAN
RNAcentral lists this long non-coding RNA (1047 nucleotides) under Aquilegia coerulea. RNAcentral's name for it is "long non-coding RNA (ACOE_LNC000997)". The record is from RNAcentral. Lineage: Eukaryota; Viridiplantae; Streptophyta; Magnoliopsida; Ranunculales; Ranunculaceae.